Molecule: long non-coding RNA, 2524 nt
Filed under: Marmota monax (woodchuck)
Lineage: Eukaryota; Metazoa; Chordata; Mammalia; Rodentia; Sciuridae
Source: RNAcentral
CAGGAUACCAUUUCCAGCCUGAGGCCCAGAGUGGCCAAGGUUGGGUCACAACUGCCGGUGGCAUCUCUUCCCUGAGGCUCAGGUGACAUCUCUCAUCUCCAUGGUCUCAAUUAGCACUGGGGCUGUUUUUAUUAGAAUUCCUUUCAGAAGUGACAUGAAACGUGUCUUGAAAGGAAACCCGGCUUCCAUUCGCUCUCCUUUUAGCCAUCAUAACACAUUUCCAUUUCAAUGGGGUCUCUUUUCUUUUUGUGCGUUGGGUUUCAAAACCCGGAACAUGAAGGAGCAGCUGGAGAGGCCGAGUCCCGCUGCUGCUGUCUCUGCUCAGCCUUCAGCUCCCUGUGGGCCGGUCUUUUCCUCGGGAGAGAGGGGCAAGCUUCUCCCCGCCGCCUCUGCCCCAGCGCCCCCCAGCCUGGCGCCUGGCACCCACCACCCUUCCUGCCUUUCCCGGGCCGUGCACAGACCCCGGCUGCUCGGGAAGGCUCCUCGGGAAGAGUAAGACAGAGGGAGGACUGGAUCCACUUCCAUCAGCCCCAGAGCCUGGCUGUCCCCCACUGCUCUCUCCACCCUCCUCCGUGACCCCCCAAGAUGCCUUUGAUGAUGGUAAAAAUGGCCGCAGUGCCGCCAACGGAGGGGAGAUGACGGCUGCUGGCAAUUGAACUGUGUCCCCCAGGAAAGAGACCUUCGUGUCCUGACCCCUGCACUUCAGAAGUGAGCUCAGUGGAAGAUAAGGCCAUCGCAGAGUUCAAAUGAGGUCAUUAGGGUGAGCAUUCGUGCAAUACGACGGAUCGCCUUAGGGAAAGGGGCGAUUUGGGACCAGAGAUGACACUUGGGGAAGAGGAUGUGAGGGGACACGGGGGGAUGGCCAUCUGCAGGCCGGACAUCUAUCUACUGAGGCUACCAGAUGUCCAGAGAGAGGCCUGGGAUGUCCCAGCAGCUCCAGGGGACGCAGCCUGCUGACACCUCGGCUGGGCGCUUCCGGCCUUGGGAACCGGGGACAGCACUUGUGCUGGUCUAAGCCGUCGGGUUUGCAGUGCCAGUUGCAGCAGCCCAGGGACACUAAAGCACUGAGGGUGGCAGGGAGGUGCAGGCAUGAGGGCUGGGCUGAGGCCUGGCUGGAAGGGCUGCCCAGGCAGGGACUACACGUCCCAGAGACCCCGGCCUCUGGGUGGGGCCACGGGACCAGUUCCACUCCAGUGGCUGGACAGGGUGGCGGGGCUGCAAGCCGCUCGACCCCGCAGAGCCUGCCGGUGCUCUCCCUGCAGCUGGCCGUCCCCGUGGCCAGGCAGUGCACAUUCACCCCAGCUGCAUAAGGCAAGGAGCACUGGAGGAGGGUGCCAGCCCCGGGGGUGUCAUCGCCGGGCUCUCACAGCCACCUCCUGUUCAACCAGCACAAAGGCACGGCCACGGGUCCCCUCCCGGCUACUGCCUACCCAUGCCAGGCCCUCGUGGGCUCCCACCUGGACACUGCCAGGUCCUGCCUGCCCUCAGGCACUGCGCUCCACCCGGCCACGGCAGCCCCUGCUUAGGGACGUUCCCCACACUUCUGCUGAAGGCAGCCCCUCAGCUUUAAGGGCGAGACCGACUUUGGUCAGAGGCCACAGGGGGUGUGCAGGGCGGUGGUUAAGACUUGGACUUUGAAGCCAGGUGACCUUGGUCAAGAUUGUGUUUCCAGCAGGACUCUGAAUGAGCUACACGGUCUCUCUGAGCCUCACUUUGCUGGUCUAUCACCUAGAGAUGAUAACAGUACGUACGUUUGGAACCGUGAGAAGAGACCAGUCGGUGCGGGAAAGUGCUGGUGUAGGGCCUGGUGUGUGCUUAGCCAGGGGUCUGUCAAUCAUUUUCCUUCCGACUGACCAGGACAUUUUCCUCUGAGAAUGGCACCUGCUCCCACUGCCCUCUACCCCGCCCACUGUGUUUCCUUUUAGGCUUGGCCAGGAUGAUCUGGGUUUCCUGUCAUUUGUGCCCAACAACCCUUGACCCACUGGGGCCGCCGGCUCAUCCUCUCCUGUUCCAGGCUUCAGCCCUCUGCUCCUGCCUCCCGACCUGCCCUCCCACAGAGUGUCCCCACUGUCUUUCUUCCUGCUCUGCCCAGAUGCCACAGUGCCUUCAGGGGACCUGAGAAACUCCAGCCUUGAAGGCAGCGCUGGGGAAGAGGUGACCCUGAGUCAGAACCGGGUGAGUUUCAUCCCUGCCCCUCUCCUGAGUGAUCAUGGCCUUAGGAUCCGACCCAAGCCGUGAUUCAUUGCUGGGACACCUGCCGAUGUCACAGCAGCCCCACAGGGCUCUUAAAUGGAUGGAGUGUGGUAGUUCCUGAGAAGGGUUGGUGGGUACACAGAGGGUGCCCAAUGGUUGUUGGUCGACAUGGAUCUGGCCCUGCACUUCACCUCCAGAAGGGCAGGCAUGAACCCCGGGGAAAUCUUACCACCAGCUUCGCUCUGGGAAAGGGAAAUAGAAACUAUCCUAAUUCCAAAGAGUAAAUGUCAGAGGCUUGGGAAGGACCGAGAGAGGGGGACGGGAGGGAGAG